UAGGAAAGUACUCUUGAGCAGAUCAGAGAGGGACUGGGUUAUCACACAAGGAUGACUUUUACUUUACAGGCAUUGAAGAAUUUGAGAGGAGUAAUGUAAGCAAAAUAAUGGUUUAAACAGACAACCUGGUAGCAUUUUAUGGGAUAUGUUUGAGGGGAGAACAUCAGCUUGGAGACUACUGCAACAGCCCAGAGGUGAAGUAACAGGGAUCCAAACUAAUGUCAGGUCAGCAGGAACACAAAGGGAGGGCCAACUAUGAGCCUAUGAGCUGGGAGACUAAGGAGAAGCAUAUGUUUGGGCUAUGACUGUGGCUAAAGGAGAAGGAAUAGCCAAGGAAUGAUGUCCAGCUUUUCAAUCUCAGUGUCUUGGCCAGAAACAGUAACUGAGGCCCAGUCUUCCUAUUGGGAAAACCAAGUUCUGUCUCAGAUGUCUUGGGUGUGGAGUGAGGGAGUUUGGGGAGAGUUGGAAAGACAAGACUCAAUCACCAGUCACCAAGUUUUACCUCAAAGUUCCUCUUAACAAGAUAUCACUACGUCUGGAGCCAAAUGGAAGGUGACUUGCUUACUAAUAGAACCCACAGGUCUUCGGUGGUCUUUAAGAAAGAUUGAUCAGGAAUCAAGUAAAGAAAAAGGGACCUGUUACGUUUAAUCCUAAACUGACAAGACAUUUGUAUUUAUGCGACAAGAAGUUACAUCUGCCAACCCAGCUCCUGUCUUCCUUAAGUAAAAGCCUCCUGUCAG
RNAcentral lists this long non-coding RNA (740 nucleotides) under Equus caballus (horse). Its description in RNAcentral is "lncRNA (ENSECAG00000044575.1)". The record is from RNAcentral. Lineage: Eukaryota; Metazoa; Chordata; Mammalia; Perissodactyla; Equidae.